This is a long non-coding RNA of Mustela erminea (ermine), 1214 nucleotides long. RefSeq lists it as uncharacterized. The record is from RefSeq and is a predicted model, not a curated record. The transcript is spliced from 2 exons. Lineage: Eukaryota; Metazoa; Chordata; Mammalia; Carnivora; Mustelidae.
UCCAUGAGCAUGGAAUGUUUUUCCAUUUCUUUGUGUCCUCCUGCAUUUCUUUCAGGAGUACUUUAUAGUUUUUUGGAUACUGGACCCCUUCUGAUCUGCCCCCACCCCGCCACUCUGCACCCAAGUGCUGUGUCAAGGACACUAAUGAUUGUGGUGCCAAACCCAGUGGCUCCUUCCUCACUUUAUCCUAUGGACCCUUCUGACCGCCGUCCUCUUGCAAUCUCUGAAACACUGCCCUCUCCGUCUCCUUUGCACAACCUCGAAAAGGUGGGAGUCCCCGAGGGAGCGUCCUGGGCCCCUUUUGCAGCCUCCACUCACCCCUGUGCUGAUCCUCAGGGCUCGAAACACCAUCUGUGUAUCAGUCAUUCCCAAAUGACAUCCCUAGCAGUGUGCCCUCCCCCGAGCUUUUUACCCAUACUCCAGCUGUCCCUGGACAUAUCUUUGUCUGUGUCUCACAGACCGCACCAGCCUCAGUGAGAACAUGGAACCUGGGCUGCCCGGUUGCCAGAAGCCUCCGGCGUCAGUGUGUAGCAGUACCACCGCCCACCUUCCGCCCGGCUGUCCUAGCCAGACCCUCAGAGGCUGCGCAUUUUUGAUAGACUUCAUUAAGGAGGGACAACCAGCAAGUGGAAAAGUACACCACCUGCGCCCACAUGGCUCGGAGACUUUUCAUAACCUGCAGUCUGGGCAGGCCUCAGACGGGUCGCCUCAUCUGCUCUACUCCGCGUCGGUGGGAGCGGAGUGAGGGCUGGGAGUCGGCACCAUCCGGAGGCCCCAGUGCCCCACUGUCAGCCGCGGGCCCUGCUGGGGCAAAGACACCCGAACGUAACCAUGUGGCCUCUUCCCAGCAAGGUUGCUGGCUGCUGAGGUGGAGCAUCUUUUUUUUUUUUUUUUUAACACAUAAUGUAUUAUUAGCCCCAGGGGUGCAGGUGUGUGAAUCGUCAGGCUUACACACUUCACAGCGCUCACCGUAGCACAUGUCCUCCCCGGUGUCCGUCCCCAGCCACCCCCAGAUUGUUUGCGAGAUUACGAAUCUCUUACAAAGAAGGGAGUUGGGGGAAAUCAGAGGGGGAGACAACCACGACAGACUGUGGACUCUGAGGGACGUGGUGGUGCGUAUUCGGGAGGGCACGGACGGCAUGGAGUGCUGCGAGUGCUGCAUAAAUGAUGAAAUCUGGAACACGGAAGAGAAAUUUAAAAAAUAAAUAAAAAUU